This 255-nucleotide ribosomal RNA is filed under the name uncultured bacterium. RNAcentral describes it as "partial 16S ribosomal RNA". It matches the Rfam family "Bacterial small subunit ribosomal RNA", at positions 524 to 776 of the family's 1533-position model. The record is from RNAcentral.
UACGUAGGGCGCAAGCGUUGUCCGGAAUUAUUGGGCGUAAAGAGUAUGUAGGCGGCCUUGUAAGUCAGUUGUGAAAGCCCCGGGCUCAACCCGGGAAGUGCAAUUGACUACUGCUUGGCUUGAAUGUGGAAGAGGGCAGUAGAAUUCCAGGUGGUAGUGGUGAAAUACGUAGAUAUCUGGAGGAAUACCGGUGGCGAAGGCGGCUGCCUGGUCCUACAUUGACGCUGAGAUACGAAAGCGUGGGGAGCAAACAGG